RNAcentral lists this long non-coding RNA (567 nucleotides) under Rattus norvegicus (Norway rat). Its description in RNAcentral is "long non-coding RNA NONRATT008803". Lineage: Eukaryota; Metazoa; Chordata; Mammalia; Rodentia; Muridae. The record is from RNAcentral.
CACAGCCUACUGAUGGUUACCAUUACUCAUCACACAGCCUACCUACUGAUGGUUACCAUUACUCAUCACACAGCCUACUGAUGGUUACCAUUACUCACACACAGCCUACUGAUGGUUACCAUUACUCAUCACACAGCCUACCUACUGAUGGUUACCAUUACUCAUCACACAGCCUACCUACUGAUGGUUACCAUUACUCAUCACACAGCCUACUGAUGGUUACCAUUACUCAUCACACAGCCUACUGAUGGUUACCAUUACUCAUCACACAGCCUACUGAUGGUUACCAUUACUCAUCACACAGCCUACUGAUGGUUACCAUUACUCAUCACACAGCCUACUGAUGGUUACCAUUACUCAGGACACAGCCUACUGAUGGUUACCAUUACUCAUCACACAGCCUACUGAUGGUUACCAUUACUCAGGACACAGCCUACUGAUGGUUACCGUUACUCAGGACACAGCCUACUGAUGGUUACCAUUACUCAUCACACAGCCUACUGAUGGUUACUAGUACUCAUCAUAUAGCCUACUGAUGGUUACCAUUACUCAUCAUAUAGCCUACUG